UACGUAGGGUGCGAGCGUUAAUCGGAUUUACUGGGCGUAAAGCGUGCGCAGGCGGCCCGUUAAGACAGGUGUGAAAUCCCUGGGCUCAACCUAGGAAUUGCGCUUGUGACUGGCGGGCUCGAGUACGGUAGAGGGGGGUGGAAUUCCUGGUGUAGCAGUGAAAUGCGUAGAGAUCAGGAGGAACACCGAUGGCGAAGGCAGCCACCUGGGCCUGUACUGACGCUCAUGCACGAAAGCGUGGGGAGCAAACAGG
This 253-nucleotide ribosomal RNA is filed under the name uncultured microorganism. RNAcentral describes it as "partial 16S ribosomal RNA". It matches the Rfam family "Bacterial small subunit ribosomal RNA", at positions 524 to 776 of the family's 1533-position model. The record is from RNAcentral.